This 2656-nucleotide ribosomal RNA is filed under the name Shigella dysenteriae. Its description in RNAcentral is "partial 23S ribosomal RNA". It matches the Rfam family "Bacterial large subunit ribosomal RNA". Lineage: Bacteria; Pseudomonadati; Pseudomonadota; Gammaproteobacteria; Enterobacterales; Enterobacteriaceae. The record is from RNAcentral.
UCCAUAGGUUAAUGAGGCGAACCGGGGGAACUGAAACAUCUAAGUACCCCGAGGAAAAGAAAUCAACCGAGAUUCCCCCAGUAGCGGCGAGCGAACGGGGAGCAGCCCAGAGCCUGAAUCAGUGUGUGUGUUAGUGGAAGCGUCUGGAAAGGCGUGCGAUACAGGGUGACAGCCCCGUACACAAAAAUGCACAUAUUGUGAGCUCGAUGAGUAGGGCGGGACACGUGGUAUCCUGUCUGAAUAUGGGGGGACCAUCCUCCAAGGCUAAAUACUCCUGACUGACCGAUAGUGAACCAGUACCGUGAGGGAAAGGCGAAAAGAACCCCGGCGAGGGGAGUGAAAAAGAACCUGAAACCGUGUACGUACAAGCAGUGGGAGCACGCUUAGGCGUGUGACUGCGUACCUUUUGUAUAAUGGGUCAGCGACUUAUAUUCUGUAGCAAGGUUAACCGAAUAGGGGAGCCGAAGGGAAACCGAGUCUUAACUGGGCGUUAAGUUGCAGGGUAUAGACCCGAAACCCGGUGAUCUAGCCAUGGGCAGGUUGAAGGUUGGGUAACACUAACUGGAGGACCGAACCGACUAAUGUUGAAAAAUUAGCGGAUGACUUGUGGCUGGGGGUGAAAGGCCAAUCAAACCGGGAGAUAGCUGGUUCUCCCCGAAAGCUAUUUAGGUAGCGCCUCGUGAAUUCAUCUCCGGGGGUAGAGCACUGUUUCGGCAAGGGGGUCAUCCCGACUUACCAACCCGAUGCAAACUGCGAAUACCGGAGAAUGUUAUCACGGGAGACACACGGCGGGUGCUAACGUCCGUCGUGAAGAGGGAAACAACCCAGACCGCCAGCUAAGGUCCCAAAGUCAUGGUUAAGUGGGAAACGAUGUGGGAAGGCCCAGACAGCCAGGAUGUUGGCUUAGAAGCAGCCAUCAUUUAAAGAAAGCGUAAUAGCUCACUGGUCGAGUCGGCCUGCGCGGAAGAUGUAACGGGGCUAAACCAUGCACCGAAGCUGCGGCAGCGACACUAUGUGUUGUUGGGUAGGGGAGCGUUCUGUAAGCCUGUGAAGGUGUACUGUGAGGUAUGCUGGAGGUAUCAGAAGUGCGAAUGCUGACAUAAGUAACGAUAAAGCGGGUGAAAAGCCCGCUCGCCGGAAGACCAAGGGUUCCUGUCCAACGUUAAUCGGGGCAGGGUGAGUCGACUCCUAAGGCGAGGCCGAAAGGCGUAGUCGAUGGGAAACAGGUUAAUAUUCCUGUACUUGGUGUUACUGCGAAGGGGGGACGGAGAAGGCUAUGUUGGCCGGGCGACGGUUGUCCCGGUUUAAGCGUGUAGGCUGGUUUUCCAGGCAAAUCCGGAAAACUAAGGCUGAGGCGUGAUGACGAGGCACUACGGUGCUGAAGCAACAAAUGCCCUGCUUCCAGGAAAAGCCUCUAAGCAUCAGGUAACAUCAAAUCGUACCCCAAACCGACACAGGUGGUCAGGUAGAGAAUACCAAGGCGCUUGAGAGAACUCGGGUGAAGGAACUAGGCAAAAUGGUGCCGUAACUUCGGGAGAAGGCACGCUGAUAUGUAGGUGAAGUCCCUCGCGGAUGGAGCUGAAAUCAGUCGAAGAUACCAGCUGGCUGCAACUGUUUAUUAAAAACACAGCACUGUGCAAACACGAAAGUGGACGUAUACGGUGUGACGCCUGCCCGGUGCCGGAAGGUUAAUUGAUGGGGUCAGCGCAAGCGAAGCUCUUGAUCGAAGCCCCGGUAAACGGCGGCCGUAACUAUAACGGUCCUAAGGUAGCGAAAUUCCUUGUCGGGUAAGUUCCGACCUGCACGAAUGGCGUAAUGAUGGCCAGGCUGUCUCCACCCGAGACUCAGUGAAAUUGAACUCGCUGUGAAGAUGCAGUGUACCCGCGGCAAGACGGAAAGACCCCGUGAACCUUUACUAUAGCUUGACACUGAACAUUGAGCCUUGAUGUGUAGGAUAGGUGGGAGGCUUUGAAGUGUGGACGCCAGUCUGCAUGGAGCCGACCUUGAAAUACCACCCUUUAAUGUUUGAUGUUCUAACGUUGACCCGUAAUCCGGGUUGCGGACAGUGUCUGGUGGGUAGUUUGACUGGGGCGGUCUCCUCCUAAAGAGUAACGGAGGAGCACGAAGGUUGGCUAAUCCUGGUCGGACAUCAGGAGGUUAGUGCAAUGGCAUAAGCCAGCUUGACUGCGAGCGUGACGGCGCGAGCAGGUGCGAAAGCAGGUCAUAGUGAUCCGGUGGUUCUGAAUGGAAGGGCCAUCGCUCAACGGAUAAAAGGUACUCCGGGGAUAACAGGCUGAUACCGCCCAAGAGUUCAUAUCGACGGCGGUGUUUGGCACCUCGAUGUCGGCUCAUCACAUCCUGGGGCUGAAGUAGGUCCCAAGGGUAUGGCUGUUCGCCAUUUAAAGUGGUACGCGAGCUGGGUUUAGAACGUCGUGAGACAGUUCGGUCCCUAUCUGCCGUGGGCGCUGGAGAACUGAGGGGGGCUGCUCCUAGUACGAGAGGACCGGAGUGGACGCAUCACUGGUGUUCGGGUUGUCAUGCCAAUGGCACUGCCCGGUAGCUAAAUGCGGAAGAGAUAAGUGCUGAAAGCAUCUAAGCACGAAACUUGCCCCGAGAUGAGUUCUCCCUGACUCCUUGAGAGUCCUGAAGGAACGUU